UAGGGAAUAUUAGUAAUGGGCGCAAGCCUGAACUAGCAACGCCGCGUGUGCGAAGAAGGCCUUCGGGUUGUAAAGCACUUUUUGAGAGGAUGAGGAAGGACGGUACUCUCAGAGUAAGUCUCGGCUAACUACGUGCCAGCAGCCGCGGUAACACGUAGGAGGCGAACGUUAUCCGGAUUUACUGGGCGUAAAGCGCGUGUAGGUGGUUUGGUAAGUAGGGCGUGAAAGCUCCUGGCUCAACUGGGAGAGGCCGUUCUAUACUGCCGAACUAGAGGAUGGUAGAGGGAGGUGGAAUUCCGGGUGUAGCGGUGGAAUGCGCAGAUAUCCGGAGGAACACCAGUGGCGAAAGCGGCCUCCUGGACCAUUCCUGACACUCAGACGCGAAAGCUAUGGUAGCAAAC
This 401-nucleotide ribosomal RNA is filed under the name uncultured bacterium. RNAcentral describes it as "bacterial SSU rRNA". It matches the Rfam family "Bacterial small subunit ribosomal RNA", at positions 355 to 773 of the family's 1533-position model. The record is from RNAcentral.